GACGAACGCUGGCGGCGUGCUUAACACAUGCAAGUCGAACGGAAAGGCCUGCUUUCCCUUGUGGAUUGCGGGUACUCGAGUGGCGAACGGGUGAGUAACACGUGAGUGAUCUGCCCCCAACUUGGGUAUAAGCCUGGGAAACUGGGUCUAAUUCCCGAUAGGACUGCAGGGUGGUGCCUGUGGUGGAAAACGAUUUUCUAGUGGUUGGGGAUGAGCUCGCGGCCUAUCAGCUUGUUGGUGGGGUAAUGGCCUACCAAGGCGGCGACGGGUAGCCGGCCUGUGAGGGUGGACGGCCACAUUGGGACUGAGUUCCGGCCCAGACUCCUACGAGAGGCAGCAGUGGGGAAUAUUGCACAAUGGGCGGAAGCCUGAUGCAGCGACGCCGCGUGGGGGAUGACGGCCUUCGGGUUGUAAACUCCUUUCGACCGCGAGGAAGCCACCUGGUUGGAAGGGUGGUGACGGUAGUGGUAGAAGAAGCACCGGCUAACUACGUG
This 494-nucleotide ribosomal RNA is filed under the name uncultured bacterium. RNAcentral describes it as "partial 16S ribosomal RNA". It matches the Rfam family "Bacterial small subunit ribosomal RNA", at positions 28 to 507 of the family's 1533-position model. The record is from RNAcentral.